Molecule: ribosomal RNA, 243 nt
Filed under: uncultured Polaromonas sp.
Lineage: Bacteria; Pseudomonadati; Pseudomonadota; Betaproteobacteria; Burkholderiales; Comamonadaceae
Description: partial 16S ribosomal RNA
Rfam family: Bacterial small subunit ribosomal RNA
Source: RNAcentral
CUAAUGAGACUGCCGGUGACAAACCGGAGGAAGGUGGGGAUGACGUCAAGUCCUCAUGGCCCUUAUAGGUGGGGCUACACACGUCAUACAAUGGAUGGUACAAAGGGUCGCCAACCCGCGAGGGGGAGCCAAUCCCAUAAAGCCAUUCGUAGUCCGGAUCGCAGUCUGCAACUCGACUGCGUGAAGUCGGAAUCGCUAGUAAUCGUGGAUCAGAAUGUCACGGUGAAUACGUUCCCGGGUCUU